GUACUAAGUUAGCCCCAAACGAUUUGUUCCCACUAAACGCCGCGUUUCGAUAUGGUGCACAGAGGACUAGACCGGCGAUGGCUUCCGCGGGGAAAUGGACAGCACAGACGAUGAUGAAGAACCAUCCGACCAGCUGAUGAAGACGGUAUCUCUUCAUUUUUCCGGUUAAGACUCGGAUGAACCGGAUUUUUCAGUCUCAAUCAUCGAGAUAUCUAGUUUGCAGCUUGGAGCUGGAACUGCAUUGCCAGGUUUGGUUGCGGAAAAAUUAGGCACCGAUGUCACUCUUACAGAUGCUUCCGACAGAGUAGAGAGAUAGUACUGAAGUCUUAAAAGUUGAAGUUAAUUGCCUUUUAUCAGCAUGUGCAGCUGCACAAAGAUCCAGCUACUCCAAAAAAACUAAAGCUGUUUUUUUCUUCUUUUUUCGGGAUGGGAGGGAUUACAAACCCUGCCCUGAGGAUGGGAUGGUUAGCAGCAACCAUUUGUGAAGCGUUGAAAUUGCGGAUUCUGCUUUGGAAGGAUGAACAAUGAGAAAAUCCUAGAGUAUGCCCUCCUGGACAAGAAUUCAGUCAUUUGGUUAGGGGAAGUAAGAGUCUACUAUCAACUGCUGCGAUAUGCUAAAGGUUGGAGCUGGCAAUUGUGUUGUUUCACUGGCUCUAGACACUAUACCAUCUUUCCUUCCUUUUGGCACCUCCCAUGUAGGACCUCCAGACUGCAAAACAAAAUUCAGAAACCACUUACUAGACCAACUGCAUCUCUGGCAGCACAAGCCAAGAUAUCAGCACAUGAUACCACACCAGGACACACAGCUUCCAGUUCUUCCUUGGCAUUGUCAAUUACAUAAAACGAGCGCAGUGAAACAUUAGGCGGCCCGUCUUUCUCUGCUUUGUCACUCCCUUGGGAGUUCAACAACACAGAGGCAUCACAGCCCUUCAAAGUGUAGCAAAGAGGUUUCGGGUCAGUAACGAAUAUAUAUAGUUAUAUGAAUGGAGUACAGACAGCUUUAGAUAAGAUGAUUUCCUACGUACCCUUAUGAAACAGUCAUGAAAAUGCAUUCUGAGUAAGGCUGCAGCCACCGUUUUGUCUUUCAUGAUUGCAUUCCUGACUGCUUUUGCAACUAUCAACUCUGCAUCAGGGCAUGUUUUCUCAUAGUAAUUCAAGCUUAAUGAAGCUCCUAGUGAAGACACUGAUAGAAUGAUGAAAAGGGAUCUCAAAAUUGCAGCAAUGACAAACAUGUGGAAGGUGCCGACCGAAUUUAUUCGGUCAACCACUUGGAUGAUAGCAUGGAGGAAAUUAUAUAAACUUAGGAGGUUCUGAGUUUGAUUUUCAUUGGAAGCAAUAUUUUUGUAACCAUGCAUUGAUUUUUGGUUUAAUUUAU
RNA transcript from Tripterygium wilfordii, 1375 nucleotides. RefSeq lists it as uncharacterized. The transcript has 7 exons. The record is from RefSeq and is a predicted model, not a curated record. Lineage: Eukaryota; Viridiplantae; Streptophyta; Magnoliopsida; Celastrales; Celastraceae.